This 468-nucleotide ribosomal RNA is filed under the name uncultured bacterium. Its description in RNAcentral is "partial 16S ribosomal RNA". It matches the Rfam family "Bacterial small subunit ribosomal RNA", at positions 28 to 507 of the family's 1533-position model. The record is from RNAcentral.
GACGAACGCUGGCGGCGUGCUUAACACAUGCAAGUCGAACGGAAAGGCCCUGCUUUUGUGGGGUGCUCGAGUGGCGAACGGGUGAGUAACACGUGAGUAACCUGCCCUUGACUUUGGGAUAACUUCAGGAAACUGGGGCUAAUACCGGAUAGGUGCUCCUGCUGCAUGGUGGGGGUUGGAAAGUUUCGGCGGUUGGGGAUGGACUCGCGGCUUAUCAGCUUGUUGGUGGGGUAGUGGCUUACCAAGGCUUUGACGGGUAGCCGGCCUGAGAGGGUGACCGGCCACAUUGGGACUGAGAUACGGCCCAGACUCCUACGGGAGGCAGCAGUGGGGAAUAUUGCACAAUGGGCGGAAGCCUGAUGCAGCAACGCCGCGUGCGGGAUAACGGCCUUCGGGUUGUAAACCGCUUUCGCCUGUGACGAAGCGUGAGUGACAGUAAUGGGUAAAGAAGCACCGGCUAACUACGUG